This 3606-nucleotide long non-coding RNA is filed under the name Sarcophilus harrisii (Tasmanian devil). Its description in RNAcentral is "lncRNA (ENSSHAG00000025302.1)". The record is from RNAcentral. Lineage: Eukaryota; Metazoa; Chordata; Mammalia; Dasyuromorphia; Dasyuridae.
CUGCAGCAUUAGAAAGAUGUAGCUUGCCCAAGGUAACAUGGGUCAAUGAAGGUCAAAGGCAACCUAAAUUUUCCUGAGUCCAGAGCCAGCCAUCUACCCAUUAGAGUUUUGGAAAAGGCUCCAUUCCUCCGGAGUCCAGGCACUCAACAAAUUUCUGGACCCCUCAGUUCUCAGCAGGCCAUCUCUCCUGCACCAACCACUCACUUCUCUUUUCCCCAACUUCACCCUCUGAUGAACCAAUUUCUUGAAUCUCUAACCCCCUUAUAGUAUCAUCAGUUACUCCGGCUCAAGCCUCAACUUUGGGUCUCUCCCACUAUUUGUCACCUUUCCUCCUACAUGACACUAUAUGCCAACAAAAAUGGAAAAAAUGGCACAACCAUUCAGACUGGUUCUACUACAGAUUUAUGGGACAUAGCCUCUCUUGGGCCCUGCUGCUGCCCAGCAAUCUUACUCCUCCUCCCUCAUUGACUCUCCCACUCUCCACAGUCACUCUUCCAAAGCUCAUCUCUCCUCAACCUCUCAUGGCUUCCCCUUCCCCCAGCCUCUUCACUGAGACUCUUGGCUCAUAUUUUACCAAAAAACUUGGGGCCAUUUGCCACGAGCUCCCUCUUCUCCCCUCCCCUCACUUGGAGGCCUCCCACUGCUCUCUCCUCCAUUGCUUCAGUCUCCCUGAUGAAGUAACCUCACUCCUUACCCAGUGAUCCCAUUCCUCUCCUCCAACAUUGCCCUCUGUCACCCCCAUCUUUCACUCCUUUUCAAUCUCUCCCUAUCCCUGUCAACUAUCACCAGUAUCUCUUCUGCCCUUCCUCUCUCAAAGUCUAGAAAAGACCAACACAGCAGGUGUCUCCACUUCCUCUCCUCCCACCUUCUUCUUCACCCCUUCUAACGGGCUUCCACGGACCCUGCUCUCUCCACAUUUACCAGCGAGUUCUUAGUUGCCAAAUCCAGUGGCCUUUUCUCAGUCCCCACUCUCCUUGACCCCUCUAUGGACCUUUGACCCAGUGGAUCACACUCUUCUUGAGAUUCAGGAUGGAGAGAGCCAUCUGCAUCCAGAGAGAGCACUGCGGGGAUUGAGGGCGGAUCACGACAUAGUGUUUUCACUUUUGUUGUUGUUUGUAUUUUAUUGUUUUUCUCAUUUUGAUCUGAUUUUUCUUGUGCAUCAUGAUAAUUGUGGAAAUGUGUAUAGAAGAAUUACACCUGUUUAACAUAUAUUGGAUUACUUGACAUCUGGGAGAAGGGGGCAAGGGGAAGGGAGGGAGAAAAAAUUUUGUAACAAGGUUUCCCGAGGGUGAAUGUUGAAAAUUCUCUAGGCGUAUGUUUUGAAAAUAAAAAACUAAGGAAAAAGAGAAAAGAAAAAGCUUUAUAAAAAAUAUUUGUUUUUUAAAAAGAAAUUCUCUUCUCUUUAGGUUUCUGAAACACAAUUCUCUCCUGAUUCUUCUUCUUUCUCUUCUCUGCUGGAUUCUCCUCCUGACACCAUCUUCUGACUCUGGGAUCCCUCAAGGCUGUCCAGGCCCCCUCUUUUCUUCCUCCCUCCCAUUUCACUUGAUCUCAUUAGUUUCCACGGAUUUAAUUACCAUCUCUAUUCUGAUACUUCUCAAAUCUGCCUAUCUUGCCCCAUCUCUCAGCUGACCUCCCACAUCCAGCUGCCUCAGAUAUCUCAAACUAAAUAUUCAGUAGAUAUCUUUGACUCAAUACUUCCCAACCUGCCCACCUCCUACUUUCCCAAUUUCUGUAGCGAAGACCCCCCUCCUCCCCAUCCCCCAGACUCACAACCCAGGAGCGAUCCGGGACUUCUCCCUGGCUCCCCCUUAUCCAUUUAAGCUAUGGUCAGUUUUACCUCUACAACAUCUCUCAAAUACACCCCUUUCUCUCCUCUGACCUCGUCCCAAUCCAUCUUACAGGCUCCCAUGACUUCUUCCCUAGAUUAUGCAAUAGCAGGAUAUGCAAUCCUGCCUAGAUCUGCCUGCCUCGGGUCUCUCCCCCCACCCCACUCCAUCAUCCAUUCAGUCACCAAAUGAUUUCCUUAAAGCCCAGGUCCAAUCAGAGCAGCCCCCCCCCCCCCCCCCCGCGGUCCCCCACCUAGGCUCCUGACCUCCUCCAGAAGCACAUACCGAGUCUUCCCUUGGGCCUUCCAAGCCCUUCCUAACCCAGUCUCCUACCUUUCCAGCCUUCUGACCCCUCAUCUCCCUCCAAUCCUCCUGUGAUCCAGUGUCACUGACCUACUACUUUAGGAACAAGAUUCCCCAUCUCUUGUGGGUGGGCAUUUAAUCCAGCUGCCCCACCUGCCCAGAACUCUCCCCUUCCCCUCUGACUUCUGAUCUCCCUGGCUUCCUUUUAAGCCACCUUCCCCAAGCAGCCUUCCCCCACUCCUCCUCAUUCCCCAGUCUUCCACUUACCAAGGGUCUCUUAUUUAUCCUGUCCAUGGCUUACUUCGGCCAUAUUUGCACAUUGCCGCCUCCGUUAGAUUGUAAGCUCAAGAGCAGGGAUGGCUUUUGCCUCUUUCUGUAUCCCCAGAGCUUAGCACAGAGCCUGGGACAUAGCAGACCCCUGAUAAAUGAUUACUGAUUGGUUGAUUGAUUGAUUUCACCUGAAUUCUCUUCAGGCCCAAUACAAAUGGUUUAACCUCCUCCUGUUCCCAAACUCAACACUCACAGCCGGCUUCCGGAUCGGCUUCCGGAUCUGCUUCCCAUGACCUGAACUCAUGUCCUCCCCAAUUCUCUAGCUCCCCUGCAGCUCCAGCUCAAGUGCCACCUCCUUCAAGGCUCUUUAGGCUUCAUCCUUCUUCAGACUGUCUUCUGUUUACUUAAGUGUAACUAUCACUCCCCCCCCCCCCCCUAACAAAAGGCAGAUGUCUUGAGAGAAAAGGUAGGGAGCGCUCCCUCCAGCUGCCCGUCCCGUAUUUUGCACACCACAGAGCCCAGUUUAUUAAACUGAACUAUUGUUGGGAGACCUGGGUACCCUUUCAACUGAGAAAGGAAGGUGAGCCCCCAUCCCUCCAUCUAGGACAGAAAGAAGGUAGAGUAUGAGAGGCAAGUUUUCUCCUUUAUUGACCUUCAUUAUUGACAGCUGGUCCCAGACAAUUAAGGCAGGGAGCUUGCUGGGGAAAGGGUCAGGAUCUAGGAGAGGAGUCAAGACCCAGGGGAGUGGGGAAGGCCGGGUCAAUAGGGAAGCAUCAACCCCAAUCUUCAGCCCCAGCCCUUUAUUGAUCCCAGUCCAGGAGCCAGAGGACAGUCAAACCAAAGGGCAAGAAACGGAAGCCUCCCCAGCAAGACCUUCCUGCACAUGGGUGAGGGGGGGGCAACAUGCAUAAUGUCCAGGGCUCAAGAACCCCGGCUCAUCCCGCCAGCCCAGGCAGCAACCAGGAUGGAUGGUAAGCGGGCUGAGGCCGAGUCUUCCCAAGGGUCUCGGGCCCUCCAUGGUGGCCUGGAAGCUGAGCCAGAACAGGCUGGUGUUGACCUGCUCUUUCUCCUGCACCAACUUCUUGAGCUGGGCCACGGUCUGACUCAGCAGAAUGCGGUAGGGGCUGCGGCCCCAAGGCCCUAGCCAUGGGCUGGUCCAGCUCCAGCACCAGCAGCAGCAGAUUGCCAGGCCUCAGCUUGUGCUCCG